RNAcentral lists this ribosomal RNA (249 nucleotides) under uncultured soil bacterium. RNAcentral describes it as "partial 16S ribosomal RNA". It matches the Rfam family "Bacterial small subunit ribosomal RNA", at positions 26 to 278 of the family's 1533-position model. The record is from RNAcentral.
AGGACGAACGCCGGCGGCGUGCUUAACACAUGCAAGUCGAACGGUGAUCUCGGUGCUUGCACCGGGUGAUCAGUGGCGAACGGGUGAGUAACACGUGAGUAACCUGCCCCCGACUCUGGGAUAACCCCGGGAAAUCGGAGCUAAUACCGGAUACGAGACGCACAGGCAUCUGUAGCGUCUGGAAAGAAUUUCGGUCGGGGAUGGACUCGCGGCCUAUCAGCUAGUGGUGGGUAACGCCACAAGGCGACG